Molecule: ribosomal RNA, 328 nt
Filed under: uncultured eukaryote
Lineage: Eukaryota
Description: partial 18S ribosomal RNA
Rfam family: Eukaryotic small subunit ribosomal RNA
Source: RNAcentral
CCCUUAGAUGUCCUGGGCCGCACGCGCGUUACACUGAUGGAUUCAACGAGCUUAUAACCUUGGCCGAGAGGCCUGGGCAAUCUUGUUAACGUGCAUCGUGAUAGGGAUAGAUUAUUGAAAUUAUUAAUCUUGAACGAGGAAUUCCUAGUAAACGCAGAUCAUCAAUCUGCAUUGAUUACGUCCCUGCCCUUUGUACACACCGCCCGUCGCACCUACCGAUUGGAUGGUCCGGUGAAGCCUCGGGAUUGUGGUUCUUGCCGCUUUAUUGUGGCGUGACCGCGAGAACUUGUCUAAACCUUAUCAUCUAGAGGAAGGUGAAGUCGUAACA